AAAGUACUCCCUCCGUCCUAAAAUUCUUGUCUUAGAUUUGUCUAGAUACGGAUGUAUCAAGUCACAUUUUAGUAUUAGAUACAUCCGUAUCUAGACAAAUCUAAGACAAGAAAUUUGGGACAGAGGGAGUAGUUG
Triticum aestivum (bread wheat) is the source of this 135-nucleotide non-coding RNA. The record is from Rfam. NCBI's taxonomy places the organism in Eukaryota, Viridiplantae, Streptophyta, Magnoliopsida, Poales, Poaceae.